This 252-nucleotide ribosomal RNA is filed under the name uncultured bacterium. Its description in RNAcentral is "partial 16S ribosomal RNA". It matches the Rfam family "Bacterial small subunit ribosomal RNA", at positions 524 to 776 of the family's 1533-position model. The record is from RNAcentral.
UACGUAGGAUGCGAGCGUUAUCCGGAUUUAUUGGGUUUAAAGGGUGCGUAGGCGGGCUUUUAAGUCAGCGGUAAAAUUGCGGGGCUCAACCUCGUCGAGCCGUUGAAACUGGGUGCCUUGAGUGGGCGAGAAGUACGCGGAAUGCGUGGUGUAGCGGUGAAAUGCAUAGAUAUCACGCAGAACUCCGAUUGCGAAGGCAGCGUACCGGCGCCCUACUGACGCUGAAGCACGAAGGCGUGGGUAUCGAACAGG